AUCCUGGCUCAGGAUGAACGCUAGCGGCAGGCUUAACACAUGCAAGUCGAGGGGUAGAGUUCUUCGGUACUUGAGACCGGCGCACGGGUGCGUUACGCGUAUGCAAUCUACCUUUUACAGAGGGAUAGCCCAGAGAAAUUUGGAUUAAUACCUCAUAGCAUUAUGGAAUGGCAUCAUUCUAUCAUUAAAGUCACAACGGUAAAAGAUGAGCAUGCGUCCCAUUAGUUUGUUGGUAAGGUAACGGCUUACCAAGACUACGAUGGGUAGGGGUCCUGAGAGGGAGAUCCCCCACACUGGUACUGAGACACGGACCAGACUCCUACGGGAGGCAGCAGUGAGGAAUAUUGGUCAAUGGGCGCAAGCCUGAACCAGCCAUGCCGCGUGCAGGAUGACGGUCCUAUGGAUUGUAAACUGCUUUUAUACAGGAAGAAACAACGCUACGUGUAGCGUCUUGACGGUAUCUGUAGGAAUAAGGAUCGGC
RNAcentral lists this ribosomal RNA (481 nucleotides) under Flavobacterium sp. 01WB02.3-56. Its description in RNAcentral is "bacterial SSU rRNA". It matches the Rfam family "Bacterial small subunit ribosomal RNA", at positions 16 to 497 of the family's 1533-position model. Lineage: Bacteria; Pseudomonadati; Bacteroidota; Flavobacteriia; Flavobacteriales; Flavobacteriaceae. The record is from RNAcentral.